CAGAGUUGCAAAACUCCCUAAACCAUUGUGAACUUACCUUCAAACCGUUGCUUCGGCGGGCGGGGUCCCCUGUGGCCCCCACCCGGCCCCCCCGUGGGCGCCCGCCGGAGGUCACCCAAACUCUUGAUAUUUUAUGGCCUCUCUGAGUAUUCUGUACUGAAUAAGUCA
Molecule: unclassified non-coding RNA, 168 nt
Filed under: uncultured fungus
Lineage: Eukaryota; Fungi
Description: sequence contains ITS1
Source: RNAcentral